GGAGCUUGCUCUGUCUGGAUCAGUGUCGAACGGGUGAGUAACACGUGAGUAACCUGCCCCAGACUCUGGAAUAAGCGCUGGAAACGGCGUCUAAUACCGGAUACGAGACGGAGAGGCAUCUCUACCGUCUGGAAAGUUUUUCGGUCUGGGAUGGACUCGCGGCCUAUCAGCUUGUUGGUGAGGUAAUGGCUCACCAAGGCAACGACGGGUAGCCGGCCUGAGAGGGCGACCGGCCACACUGGGACUGAGACACGGCCCAGACUCCUACGGGAGGCAGCAGUGGGGAAUAUUGCACAAUGGGCGAAAGCCUGAUGCAGCGACGCCGCGUGAGGGAUGACGGCCUUCGGGUUGUAAACCUCUUUCAGCAGGGAAGAAGCGAAAGUGACGGUACCUGCAGAAGAAGCACCGGCUAACUACGUGCCAGCAGCCGCGGUAAUACGUAGGGUGCGAGCGUUGUCCGGAAUUAUUGGGCGUAAAGAGCUUGUAGGCGGUCUGUCGCGUCUGCUGUGAAAAUCCGGGGCUCAACCCCGGACUUGCAGUGGGUACGGGCAGACUAGAGUGUGGUAGGGGAGACUGGAAUUCCUGGUGUAGCGGUGAAAUGCGCAGAUAUCAGGAGGAACACCGAUGGCGAAGGCAGGUCUCUGGGCCACUACUGACGCUGAGAAGCGAAAGCAUGGGGAGCGAACAGGAUUAGAUACCCUGGUAGUCCAUGCCGUAAACGUUGGGCGCUAGGUGUGGGACUCAUUCCACGAGUUCCGUGCCGCAGCUAACGCAUUAAGCGCCCCGCCUGGGGAGUACGGCCGCAAGGCUAAAACUCAAAGGAAUUGACGGGGGCCCGCACAAGCGGCGGAGCAUGCGGAUUAAUUCGAUGCAACGCGAAGAACCUUACCAAGGCU
Molecule: ribosomal RNA, 896 nt
Filed under: Janibacter sp. CBMAI 1072
Lineage: Bacteria; Bacillati; Actinomycetota; Actinomycetes; Micrococcales; Intrasporangiaceae
Description: bacterial SSU rRNA
Rfam family: Bacterial small subunit ribosomal RNA
Source: RNAcentral